UCUCACAUAAGUGUGUAUGUAUUAGAACAAUGCAAAGCAAAAAAAUGUGUUUAAUAUACAGCAUACAAUAAGACAAAAUAUAAGUGUGUCAUUCCAUAGCCCUAAUUCAACAUAUAUACCAGGAGUUUCCAAAUUCUUUUCAUUCAAGGCUCCCUAAUAAUAAAAAAAAUUGUUCAAGCCUCCAACAAAGAAUAUUUAAUAAAAUAGGUUAACAAUUAUUUAAUAUUUAUUAGUUAACAGUAAACUUAUUAUUUUAUUUUAUAAAAAAUAAUUAAUGUCUUUUUUUCGUUUAUUAAUUUUUCAAAAUUAGGAAUUAAUGUAGUUACUGCAACAUGCAUUUAUUUUUCCACGUUGAGCCUGGACCAAUAUUUUUAUUUUAAUACGGCUACUGUUGAAAAUCCUGCUUCACACAAAUACAAUGUGGCAAAUGGUAUUAAU
Molecule: non-coding RNA, 438 nt
Organism: Cinara cedri
Lineage: Eukaryota; Metazoa; Arthropoda; Insecta; Hemiptera; Aphididae
Source: the annotation of a GenBank genome assembly